This 89-nucleotide unclassified non-coding RNA is filed under the name Pseudomonas sp. A214. The record is from RNAcentral. Lineage: Bacteria; Pseudomonadati; Pseudomonadota; Gammaproteobacteria; Pseudomonadales; Pseudomonadaceae.
UGUGGGAGCGAGCCUGCUCGCGAUGACGGCGGCCCAUUCAGCACCACCGGUUCAGGCAGACCGCUUUCGCGAGCAGGCUCGCUCCCACA